GACGAACACUGGCGGCGUGCUUAACACAUGCAAGUCGAACGGAAAGGCCCUGCUUUUGUGGGGUGCUCGAGUGGCGAACGGGUGAGUAACACGUGAGUAACCUGCCCUUGACUUUGGGAUAACUUCAGGAAACUGGGGCUAAUACCGGAUAGGAGCUCCUGCUGCAUGGUGGGGGUUGGAAAGUUUCGGCGGUUGGGGAUGGACUCGCGGCUUAUCAGCUUGUUGGUGGGGUAGUGGCUUACCAAGGCUUUGACGGGUAGCCGGCCUGAGAGGGUGACCGGCCACAUUGGGACUGAGAUACGGCCCAGACUCCUACGGGAGGCAGCAGUGGGGAAUACUGCACAAUGGGCGGAAGCCUGAUGCAGCAACGCCGCGUGCGGGAUGACGGCCUUCGGGUUGUAAACCGCUUUCGCCUGUGACGAAGCGUGAGUGACGGUAAUGGGUAAAGAAGCACCGGCUAACUACGUG
This 468-nucleotide ribosomal RNA is filed under the name uncultured bacterium. RNAcentral describes it as "partial 16S ribosomal RNA". It matches the Rfam family "Bacterial small subunit ribosomal RNA", at positions 28 to 507 of the family's 1533-position model. The record is from RNAcentral.